CUGCCCGGUGGCUCCCAGGGCGUCACUCGGCCUCUGUCCCCCUGUCCCUGCAACUCCUCCACCGGGGGCCGGAGACCCCCCUCUCUGCGUGGCAGGCAAGACACGGGUGGCUGUGCCGGCUGGUUUGAAGUAGAGUCCACAGGCUCUGGCACUUGGAGAAGCUUCUUCCCAGAGUUGGUGGCUUCGCUAUGUCUAAGUCUCCAGGGAACUCAGCAUCCUAGGAUCCAACACUCAAACUCUGGGAUGUGUAAAGGCAUGAACUGAUUGGAAUGACUCAACCAUAUUUUCCAGAACACACUGGCUCAACAUCAGAAUCUCCUGGGGACUUUUCAGGUCUGCGAACGCGAGAUGAAAAAGUGGCUGUUUGUGAAAUGGUUGCUCUCCUGGGAAAGGGGUAUGGGAGAAAAUGGACUCUCUGCGCCCAGCCCUCCAGAGAUGGCACCCCAGCCCCCGUGAUAAAUGGCAGCAUUAACAAGGUAAUCACUGCCUCAAAGAGUGACCUGGAAGGAGCAGUUCUGGGCUGUCUUUAUGGACCUGUCAUCAGCAAAUCAUCUCCCAUCAGGACCACACGACCAACGUACUCAGGCAGAAGUUGAGAGCCAUGGGGAGCCUCACGGAGGACGGCCACCAGGUCCCCUUACAAAAUAAACUCAUUUCCAGCCAAACCCGA
This is a long non-coding RNA of Bubalus bubalis (water buffalo), 670 nucleotides long. RefSeq lists it as uncharacterized. The record is from RefSeq and is a predicted model, not a curated record. NCBI's taxonomy places the organism in Eukaryota, Metazoa, Chordata, Mammalia, Artiodactyla, Bovidae. The transcript is spliced from 4 exons.